AUUGAACGCUGGCGGCAUGCUUUACACAUGCAAGUCGAACGGUAACAGGCCUUCGGGUGCUGACGAGUGGCGAACGGGUGAGUAAUGCAUCGGAACGUACCCAGAGGUGGGGGAUAACGCAGCGAAAGCUGUGCUAAUACCGCAUGUGAUCUGAGGAUGAAAGCGGGGGACCGAGCAGCAAUGUUUGGCCUCGCGCCUUUGGAGCGGCCGAUGUCGGAUUAGCCAGUUGGUGGGGUAAAGGCCUACCAAGGCGACGAUCCGUAGCUGGUCUGAGAGGACGGCCAGCCACACUGGGACUGAGACACGGCCCAGACUCCUACGGGAGGCAGCAGUGGGGAAUUUUGGACAAUGGGCGCAAGCCUGAUCCAGCAAUGCCGCGUGCGGGAAGAAGGCCUUCGGGUUGUAAACCGCUUUUGGCAGGAACGAAACGGUGUCCGCUAAUACCGGGCGCUAAUGACGGUACCUGCAGAAUAAGCACCGGCUAACUACGUG
Molecule: ribosomal RNA, 492 nt
Filed under: uncultured bacterium
Lineage: Bacteria
Description: partial 16S ribosomal RNA
Rfam family: Bacterial small subunit ribosomal RNA
Source: RNAcentral